RNAcentral lists this ribosomal RNA (198 nucleotides) under uncultured bacterium. RNAcentral describes it as "partial 16S ribosomal RNA". It matches the Rfam family "Bacterial small subunit ribosomal RNA", at positions 328 to 539 of the family's 1533-position model. The record is from RNAcentral.
ACGCUCGACACCUACGGGAGCAGCAGUAGGGAAUAUUGCGCAAUGGGGGAAACCCUGACGCAGCAACGCCGCGUGGAGGAUGACACUUUUCGGAGCGUAAACUCCUUUUCUUAGGGAAGAAUUCUGACGGUACCUAAGGAAUAAGCACCGGCUAACUCCGUGCCAACAGCCGCGGUAAUCUGAGCGGGCUGGCAAGGC